This 2674-nucleotide long non-coding RNA is filed under the name Eucalyptus grandis. RNAcentral describes it as "long non-coding RNA (EGRA_LNC006570)". Lineage: Eukaryota; Viridiplantae; Streptophyta; Magnoliopsida; Myrtales; Myrtaceae. The record is from RNAcentral.
CCUGUUCUUGGGCCGAGCAAAUUGACGAGUCUUCUACUUAAUUGAGAUUCCAUUGCCAGUUCGUAUCGACGAAACUCGUAGCCGUCUCAAACCCAUUUGUUCAUGAUCAAAGUUCCAUUCCAGCAAGGUAAAUUCCUAUCUCGGUUUGGUGAAUGUACGAGCCAAAGUUUCAAAAUCUAACCCUUGUUUGAACAUAAUAGAGACCGAGCCUGAUGUUAAACUGCUGGUUAAUAACAUGUUCGCACCUCGGUUUUGGGCUAUAUGUGGAUUUCCGGUUUGUUUUCGAUGUGUGAACACCCCCCAGAAGUUGCUCGUAACAUGUUUGAUGAAAUGCUCAAGUCAAGCCGUUACAUACAGUUUAUUGAUUUCUGUCCGCUUUAGGAUGCGUAUUGGCCAGAUUAGUACAACUGAAAACCCCUUUCUAUUUUGGAGUGUUACUUCUAUCAUGAGACCAAGACUGAGCAUACAGUUGUUUCUUUCUUUUCCUCCCUUUUGCAUGUCUCCUUGCGACAUGUGCUUGCCAAUGAGGAAAUGUUCGGAGUCCACAUCAGUAAUGUCAAUCCUAUAAGAUAUUUUGUAUCAAUUUGUCUCUCCAAUUUGUAAUCUUCAUAUAUUUGCUGUUAUGUGUUCUGAAUGUGGGACGCCAGUGACCGACAGUGACUAAAGGUGCUAAUUUUGGGGCGGAUAAUAACUGGCAAAAGUCUUUGGUGAUUGUUGUGAUGGUGGUUCCAUUCGGUGAUGGUGGCUGACGAAAGUGGUUGAUGGCUGGAGAUGGUGUCAGGUUAUAUAAUUUCUAGAAAUAUGCAUUUUAUUCAUAUCCUAAUCAUUUCUUUGAAAUUGUGGCUGUAAUUUGUGAAUGGAGAUGGUCGGCUAUGGUGUUGUGCGGUGGCGGUGUUGGUUAGUAACGAUGUUGAUCGGUGACUUUGGUCGUUGGUAGUGACGUGACUCAGCAAUGGAUCAGGAUGAGCAGUGGAGAAGCUAAGUUGAUCUUAAUAUUGGGCUGUAUUAGCUCAGAUGUAUCUUUGGCUAAAGUUUUAGUAAUCUGAUUCUUUAGUUUUAGUGAUCUGGAUAUGAGGCUUUAGUAAUCCAGUCAUUAGGCUUGAUAUGAGACAAGUUUGGAGACAAUGAACCUUAGAAGGAAGGUGCAGACGUCCAAGUGUCACAGGUAAUUCUUUCGAUCACAAACUGUGCGGCACUUUCUCGUACACUUGAGGAAGGGAAUUUCUAGAGAAAGUAAAGAGAAGUUCUGAAGAAUACUCUAUUACUCAAAUAAAGUGGUUGAUAUAAAUGAGAGGGAGGACUCUGCUAUUUAUACAAAAGUCCCUAUAAUUAGAACUAUUGAUCUUCUAUGCAAUCUAACGGGAUAGGAUGUCAAUUCUUGUUUAAUUGAUCUGACAGUAGAGAUCCAUUUGAUCUAAUAGUGGAGGAUUUUGAUAGUGGUCACAUUAAUCCAAUGAUGGAAAUUAGCUCUAUCUAACGGUUGAGGGCGUCAAUCUUUGUCAAGUAAAUCCGAUGUUAGGUAUUGAAUUUUCUUGAAAGCUAAUAGCUUUUAUGAGUACUUAUGGAUCGAUGAUAUAGCGACCCUUUGGAUUAUUGAUAUGGCGUUUUUUGGUCUGUGACAUUCUCUCCCACUAAUGUAGGGGCCAAUAAUUUCCGAUGAAAAUUGGUUGAGACUAAAUACGCAAAAUGAAAAGUAUAUGAUUAAAUUUACAUCCGUAGAUAGGUGUGGAACUAAUUGGCUAAUUUUCUUGUCAAAUUGGUGUUGAUUUUGUUUUGGUCAAAAGAGAAGCUUUCUUUAUUGAAGAGUUGAACGAAGGAGCCCGUAAGGGGCAUCUAAACACACCAAGUCCUUAAGGGGCUGGGGUUUGGACUAGCCAAUUUCGUGGAAGAGAAUUCACUUGUUGAGCUUUCACGACUUAAUACACUACUCUGUUUGGCUCUCUACUCUUAGAUCACAAAAGCAAAGUAACAGAUCUUGAGCUAGCUUCAGAGAUGAGAGCGCGCUCACCCCACCCGGUGCGAUCUGCGGACUUCAAAGAAGGAACUAAACUCAAAAGGGUCAUUGUUGAGUUCAAGACUUUGGGAUCUUCGAGAAGAGAGAAACUUCAGCGAGUGCACGAAUGCUAGGGUUUCUGCUUGGCUUGCCGAGGAGACUGCGAAGCCGUCCAAGAGAAUACCAGAGGAAUCACACACGACGCAAGCUAUGGCACCCUCGGUCGAGCCUGGUAAGUAGGAUCCUUCUAUGUUUACCUUUAGUUCGUCUUUCCCAGGGGGUCUCCAAGCUCGAUCCGGGGUGUUUCGUGUUCCGGUCUAUGGGCUUCUGUCGGGGUUCUUGCUUCCUCUCUUUCUUGCUCCAUUCCGCGUCACUUUCGAGCUGGACAUGGGCAGAUUUUACUAUAUCGGUCGGCCUAAGGGUUAAGGCCACUGAAGAUGGCCUUGUUCCGAGACUUCCAAAUGAGCCAUAAAAACACCUGUGAUUAGUUCGAAGGCGCGUCCUCCCGUGAAAAAGGCUGGUUUCCCAACACUUUUUAAGUCGUGCCGUGUUAUAAUCGAUCUGCAAGGUCCCAUAUUCAAUGGGAAGAACCACGAGAGGCCCAUGAUGGGGAUGUGCAUUUAUCCAAUUAAGUGACUUCGGCUAAAUAUGAAGUUAGUUUCUCGAACAUUUUCAUUCUCC